GAUGAACGCUAGCGGUAGGCCUAACACAUGCAAGUCGAGGGAGAAGCCCUUUCGGGGGCAGAAACAGGCGCACGGGUGCGUAACGCGUAUGGAACCUCCCCUUAACCGGCGGAUAGCCCGAAGAAAAUUGGAUUAAUAUCACAUAAUAUUAUUGGAUGGCAUCAUUUUAUAAUUAAAACUGCGGCGGAGAUAGAUGGGCAUGCGUCCUAUUAGUCAGUUGGAGUAGUUACAGCACCCCAAGGCUACGAUAGCUAGGGGUCCUGAGAGGGAGAGCCCCCAGACUUGUAAUGAGACAGAGACCAGAAUCCUACGCGGGGCAGCGGUGAAGAAUAUUAUGCGAUGGACGGAAGACUGAACCAGCCGUGCCGCGGACAGGAAGAAUGGCGUAUGAGAUGUAAACUGUUGUGAUAUAGAAAGAAUAAGGCGUACGUCUACUUUGAUGACGGUACCAUAUGAAUAAGCAUCGGCUAACUCCGUG
RNAcentral lists this ribosomal RNA (478 nucleotides) under uncultured bacterium. RNAcentral's name for it is "partial 16S ribosomal RNA". It matches the Rfam family "Bacterial small subunit ribosomal RNA", at positions 28 to 507 of the family's 1533-position model. The record is from RNAcentral.